GAAUCAUAGCAAAAAAAUCAUUAAGGAAUCGAACCAUCAGGAAGGUGGCUCAGGGACGAAAAGGUAUAGGCAGGUUUGCCGGAUACUAUCAGUAUAAUGAUCUUUUAAGGAGUAACUGACAGGGAUGUAUUUUAUCAGGGAAUGAGCAGGAAGCGACCAAUUUAGCAGGACUGCUAUGACAAUCAAAUAAGAGGGGAGAUUUUGUCUCCCCUCUUAUUUUGUG
Molecule: small RNA, 223 nt
Filed under: Xenorhabdus budapestensis
Lineage: Bacteria; Pseudomonadati; Pseudomonadota; Gammaproteobacteria; Enterobacterales; Morganellaceae
Source: RNAcentral